Molecule: transfer RNA, 72 nt
Filed under: Urocitellus parryii (Arctic ground squirrel)
Lineage: Eukaryota; Metazoa; Chordata; Mammalia; Rodentia; Sciuridae
Also listed under: 2 other names
Description: Spermophilus parryii (Arctic ground squirrel) tRNA
Rfam family: tRNA
About the family: Transfer RNA (tRNA) molecules are approximately 80 nucleotides in length. Their secondary structure includes four short double-helical elements and three loops (D, anti-codon, and T loops).
Source: Rfam by way of RNAcentral
UGGGUUAUGGCUCAGUGGUAGAGCACUUGCCUAGCAUGUGUGAGGUACUGGGUUCAAUCCCUAGCACCACAU